GAUGCAAGUCGAACGUGAUUCGGUAGCAAUAUCGAUGAAAGUGGCGAACGGGUGAGUAACACGUAGAUAACCUGCCUCGAAGCGGGGGAUAACGACUGGAAACGGUCGCUAACACCGCAUGGGACUGAGAUAGCGGGAGCUAUUUUAGUGAAAACUCAGGUGCUUCGAGAGGGGUCUGCGGCCGAUUAGCUAGUUGGUGGGGUAAAGGCCUACCAAGGCGACGAUCGGUAGCUGGUCUGAGAGGACGAUCAGCCACACGGGAACUGAGAAACGGUCCCGACUCCUACGGGGGGCAGCAGUGAGGAAUAUUGGGCAAUGGGCGCAAGCCUGACCCAGCAACGCCGCGUGGAGGAAUGAAGGCCUUCGGGUUGUAAACUCCUUUUACGGGGGAAGAGGAAGGACGGUACCCCGAGAAUAAGUCACGGCUAACUACGUGCCAGCAGCCGCGGUAAUACGUAGGUGACAAGCGUUAUCCGGAAUUACUGGGCGUAAAGCGCACGCAGGCGGCGCGCUAAGUCUGACGUGAAAUCUCUCGGCUUAACCGGGAGGGGUCGUUGGAGACUGGCGAGCUUGAGGCGAUGAGAGGGGUGUAGAAUUCCCGGUGUAGUGGUGGAAUGCGUAGAUAUCGGGAGGAAUACCAGUGGCGAAAGCGGCACCCUGGCAUUAGCCUGACGCUCAUGUGCGAAAGCGUGGGGAGCGAACGGGAUUAGAUACCCCGGUAGUCCACGCUGUAAACGAUGAGUACUAGGUGUGGGGCGAGUGAAAUCGUUCUGUGCCGAAGCAAACGCGCUAAGUACUCCGCCUGGGGAGUACGGCCGCAAGGCUAAAACUCACAGGAAUUGACGGGGGCCCGCACAAGCAGCGGGAGCGUGUGCUUUAAUUUCGAUGCGACACGAAG
This 898-nucleotide ribosomal RNA is filed under the name uncultured Chloroflexota bacterium. RNAcentral describes it as "bacterial SSU rRNA". It matches the Rfam family "Bacterial small subunit ribosomal RNA", at positions 54 to 966 of the family's 1533-position model. Lineage: Bacteria; Bacillati; Chloroflexota. The record is from RNAcentral.